This is a long non-coding RNA of Plodia interpunctella (Indianmeal moth), 377 nucleotides long. RefSeq lists it as uncharacterized. NCBI's taxonomy places the organism in Eukaryota, Metazoa, Arthropoda, Insecta, Lepidoptera, Pyralidae. The transcript has 2 exons. The record is from RefSeq and is a predicted model, not a curated record.
GUAUCAGUUACCAUUAGGUCGUCAAAGUAACUUGGAAAAUAGUCAAGAUGAAAUCCGUCAUCGUCUUCGCUCUCCUCGUUGUUUGCGCUUGCGCCGUCCCUACUCCUGACAUGAAAUGGACCGCCCAAUACGGAUCGUACCCUACCGGGAGUAUCAUCCCCCUCCGGUACGGUCUAAAUCGACCAUUCAUCAUACCCCAGCCUGGGUUAUACCCAGCCCAGCCACUGACAUACCCACAGCCGUACGUGCCGAUUAGCUAUGGCUCGGCGGUCGUCAGAUCGUAUGACCCAGAGUACUUCUACAAGAAGAAUGGAUUUUACCCCGAGAACUGAAGUUUUAAUGUUCAAAUCUCUAAAUAAAAUGUCACAUGCAUGAAA